RNAcentral lists this ribosomal RNA (268 nucleotides) under uncultured bacterium. Its description in RNAcentral is "partial 16S ribosomal RNA". It matches the Rfam family "Bacterial small subunit ribosomal RNA", at positions 355 to 640 of the family's 1533-position model. The record is from RNAcentral.
UAGGGAAUAUUGGUAAUGGGCGAAAGCCUGAACCAGCAACGCCGCGUGUGCGAUGAAGGCCUUCGGGUUGUAAAGCACUUUUGACCGGGACGAGGAAGGACGGUACCGGUGGAAUAAGCCUCGGCUAACUACGUGCCAGCAGCCGCGGUAAAACGUAGGAGGCGAGCGUUAUCCGGAUUUACUGGGUGUAAAGCGCGUGCAGGCGGUUAGCUAAGUUGGGUGUGAAAGCUCCUGGCUCAACUGGGAGGGGUCGCGUAAGACUGGGUGA